AGGGGUGUAGCACACAGUAGAGCAUGUGCUUAGUAUGCACAAGGCCCUGAGUUUGAUCCCAGCACCACAA
This 70-nucleotide transfer RNA is filed under the name Heterocephalus glaber (naked mole-rat). It matches the Rfam family "tRNA". From Rfam's summary of the family: Transfer RNA (tRNA) molecules are approximately 80 nucleotides in length. Their secondary structure includes four short double-helical elements and three loops (D, anti-codon, and T loops). The record is from Rfam by way of RNAcentral. Lineage: Eukaryota; Metazoa; Chordata; Mammalia; Rodentia; Bathyergidae.